GACGAACGCUGGCGGCGUGCUUAACACAUGCAAGUCGAACGAAGAGCGAUGGAAGCUUGCUUCUAUCAAUCUUAGUGGCGAACGGGUGAGUAACGCGUAAUCAACCUGCCCUUCAGAGGGGGACAACAGUUGGAAACGACUGCUAAUACCGCAUACGAUCUAAUCUCGGCAUCGAGGAAAGAUGAAAGGUGGCCUCUAUUUAUAAGCUAUCACUGAAGGAGGGGAUUGCGUCUGAUUAGCUAGUUGGAGGGGUAACGGCCCACCAAGGCGAGGAUCAGUAGCCGGUCUGAGAGGAUGGACGGCCACAUUGGGACUGAGACACGGCCCAGACUCCUACGGGAGGCAGCAGUGGGGAAUCUUCCGCAAUGGACGAAAGUCUGACGGAGCAACGCCGCGUGGGUGAUGACGGCCUUCGGGUUGUAAAGCUCUGUUAAUCGGGACGAAAGGCCUUCUUGCGAACAGUUAGAAGGAUUGACGGUACCGGAAUAGAAAGCCACGGCUAACUACGUG
Molecule: ribosomal RNA, 510 nt
Filed under: uncultured bacterium
Lineage: Bacteria
Description: partial 16S ribosomal RNA
Rfam family: Bacterial small subunit ribosomal RNA
Source: RNAcentral